Bos taurus (domestic cattle) is the source of this 2172-nucleotide long non-coding RNA. The record is from Ensembl. NCBI's taxonomy places the organism in Eukaryota, Metazoa, Chordata, Mammalia, Artiodactyla, Bovidae.
UUUCUGCCCCAGGCAGACUUCUUCCUUCCCAGGCCUGAGGGCACGUGGGACACCCCCUAAUGGCACUGAUCACAUUGCAAUGUUACCCUUGGGUCACAGGUUUCUGGACCUCUGGACUUUAGGUGUUUUUUUAAUUAAUCUUAUAGAGAAAUUUUUGGUUUGUCCAAAGAGACUCCAGACUUUUUAUUUUCUAAAUUGAAUUUUAAGGAGAAGUUUUAGGUUCCUACGAAAAGACUCCAGGCUUUCUUUUAAAACAGAGACUGUGUGAUUCAUCUGCCCCCAGCACCUAGCAUGGCCUCUGGCUCAUAGCCGGGGUUCAAAUGCAUGCUUGUUUGGUAAUAAGUGAGGCAAGACACACUGGGAAUGAUUUAAAAAAAUAACAAAGAGAUGUAUCUUUACACACAUCUUUGCUGUUGAAAAUGAAGUCCGUGAAAGUUUUCUGGGAAUUCAAAAGUAGUUCUUUUUCAUGGGCCCUCCUUGGUUGGUUUUCAAGUUUGCCCUGAAGCAUCUUCUGUCCAAAUAGCCUUUCGCUGGCAGCAGUUCUACCUUCAUCCAGAAGAUGGCGGGCGAGGCCAGCAAGCGAGCUUCGCAAUGCAGCCAGGCGCCAGGCCUAGGCAGGUGACCCUUUUUUAACAAAAGAUGCGGGCACCUGAAGCCUAUUUGCCAACCCCAUAAAUGCGCAUGGGCGACAAGAACUUCGGGAUAGGUUCUGGUGUUGAUCCCCGUGAAAAGGAGCCUUUUUGAAAGGGUGUUUCAGGGGGAGCAUGGCAGCAAGUGGUUAAAGGGCAGGUCCUCUAAAACUCUCCUUUGAAUGGGGAAAACACUGUGGAAAAUGAACUUCCUAUAAAGCAGGCACAGCCCUCAAAGUCUCCGUGACUCAGGACGACGUGCUUUUUUGCCUCUUGAAGCUUACUUGCUUUGGAAAUGGUUCCCGGCUCCCUGGCCACCUCCACAGCUGACCGGAAGCUUCUCUUGGGUCACAAUUCCUCCUCCUCACAGGUCUGCACACUCCCAACAGGUGGCCCAGUGGUAAAGAAUCCACCUGCCAAUGCAAGAGAUGCAAGAGACAUGGGUUUGAACCUUAGAUUGGGAAGAUCCCCUGGAGCAGGAAAUGGUGAACUACGCCAGUAUUCUUGCCUGGAAAAUUCCAUGGACAGAGGAGCCUAGUGAACUACAGUUCAUGGGGUUGCAAAGAGUUGGACAUGGCUGAGUAACAGAGCGUACACACACACAUAUACACUUUUUCAGAUUCUUUUCCAUUAUAGGUUAUUACAAGACAUUGAGUACAGUUUGCUAUACAGUGUCUAAGUAGCAGCAUGCGAGAUCUUCAGCUGAAGCAUGUGGGAUUUAACUCCCUGACAAGGGAUUGAACCUGGGCCCCCUGCAUUGGGAACACGGAAUCUUAGCCAUUGGACUACGGGGGAAGUUCUAAUGGGUUUAUAUCAUCUACGUGCUCAGUUGCUUCAGUCGUGUCCGACUCUUUGCGACCCAUGGACUGUAGUGCACCAGGCUCCCCUGUCCAUGGGAUUCUCCAGGCAAGAACACUGGAGUGGGUUGCCAUGCCCUCCUCCAGGGGAUCUUCCUGACCCAGGGAUUGAACCUGCGUCUCCUUUAUUCCAGGAGACACAGGAGACACGAGUUUGAUCCCCUAGAUCUAGAAGAUUCCCUGGAGUAGGAAAUGGCAACUGAUUCCAGUAUUCUUGCCUGGAAAAUUCCAUGGACAGAGGAGUCUUGCAGGCUACAGUCUCCAUGGGGUUGCAAAGAGUCAGACAUCACUGAGCAUGCUGGAUAUAUGCCCAGAAGUGGGAUUACUGGAUCAUAUGUAGACCAUUUACUUUUAAUGUUAUUAAUCAUAUGGUUUGGCUCUCUUGUUAUUUAUCUUUGCUCCAUUUGUUCUGUCUUCCUUUUCCUCCUCGUCUACCAUCUUUUAGAUUUAUUGCUUAUUUUUUAUUCUGUUUUCUUGGUUAGAUUAUAGUUAUAAUUUUUUUAUUUUGUGGUUUUAAGGUUUAUAGUGUAUAUAUAUGCCUAUUACAGUACACCUUCAAGUUAUAUUACACUGCUUUAUGGAUAGGAUAAAAACUUACCGCAUUUCCAUUUCCCUCCUCCUGACCUUUGUACUAUUCUCAUACAUUUUAAUUCUACGUGUGUUGUAAACCUCAUAACACAUUGUUG